This 103-nucleotide small nuclear RNA is filed under the name Castor canadensis (American beaver). Lineage: Eukaryota; Metazoa; Chordata; Mammalia; Rodentia; Castoridae. The record is from RNAcentral.
GUGCUUGCUUUGGUAGCACUUAUACUAAACUAGAAUGAUACAGAGAUUAGCAUGAACCCUGUGUAAGGGUGACAUGCAAAUUAGUGAAGUCUUCCAUAUUUAA